UACGGAGGAUGCAAGCGUUAUCCGGAAUUAUUGGGCGUAAAGCGUCCGUAGGUGGCAAUUCAAGUCUGCCGUUAAAACCAGUGGCUUAACCACUGAAUAGCGGUGGAAACUGAAUAGCUAGAGUGUGGUAGGGGUAGAGGGAAUUCCCAGUGUAGCGGUGAAAUGCGUAGAGAUUGGGAAGAACACCGGUGGCGAAAGCGGUCUGCUGGACCACAACUGGCACUCAAAGGACGAAAGCUAGGGGAGCGAAAGGG
RNAcentral lists this ribosomal RNA (254 nucleotides) under uncultured bacterium. Its description in RNAcentral is "partial 16S ribosomal RNA". It matches the Rfam family "Bacterial small subunit ribosomal RNA", at positions 524 to 776 of the family's 1533-position model. The record is from RNAcentral.